RNAcentral lists this transfer RNA (66 nucleotides) under Morphostenophanes sinicus. Its description in RNAcentral is "tRNA-Ser". Lineage: Eukaryota; Metazoa; Arthropoda; Insecta; Coleoptera; Tenebrionidae. The record is from RNAcentral.
AACUAAUGAGCUUGAAUAAGCCUAUAUUUUGAAAAUAUAAGAUAGAGAUAACAACUCUAUUAGUUU